Molecule: transfer RNA, 71 nt
Filed under: Electrophorus voltai
Lineage: Eukaryota; Metazoa; Chordata; Actinopteri; Gymnotiformes; Gymnotidae
Description: tRNA-Gln
Rfam family: tRNA
About the family: Transfer RNA (tRNA) molecules are approximately 80 nucleotides in length. Their secondary structure includes four short double-helical elements and three loops (D, anti-codon, and T loops).
Source: RNAcentral
UAGAAGAUGGUGUAGAGGAAGCACAUGGAGUUUUGAUCUCUUGGGCAUAGGUUCAAGUCCUAUCCUUCUAG